RNAcentral lists this ribosomal RNA (460 nucleotides) under uncultured bacterium. RNAcentral describes it as "partial 16S ribosomal RNA". It matches the Rfam family "Bacterial small subunit ribosomal RNA", at positions 338 to 795 of the family's 1533-position model. The record is from RNAcentral.
CCUACGGGAGGCUGCAGUGAGGAAUAUUGGUCAAUGGACGAGAGUCUGACCCAGCAAAGUAGCGUGAAUGAUGACUGCCCUCUGGGUUGUAAACUUCUUUUAUAUGGGAGUAAAAUGUUCCACGUGUGGGAUUUUGUAUGUACCAUAUGAAUAAGGAUCGGCUAACUCCGUGCCAGCAGCCGCGGUAAUACGGAGGAUCCGAGCGUUAUCCGGAUUGAUUGGGUUUAAAGGGAGCGUAGGUGGAUUGUUAAGUCAGUUGUGAAAGUUUGCGGCUCAACCGUAAAAUUGCAGUUGAAACUGGCAGUCUUGAGUACAGUAGAGGUGAGUGGAAUUCGUGGUGUAGCGGUGAAAUGCUUAGAUAUCACGAAGAACUCCGAUGGCGAAGGCAGUUCACUGGACUGCAACUGACACUGAGGCUCGAAAGUGUGGGUAUCAAACAGGAUUAGAUACCCGAGUAGUC